This 145-nucleotide non-coding RNA is filed under the name uncultured Bolidomonas. The record is from RNAcentral. Lineage: Eukaryota; Bolidophyceae.
GGCGUCUUCCGCCACCCGGAGCAUGGUCGUCGCUGGAGUGAACGUCGAGGAGGGAUACUUCACGAAGUGCUUCGAGGAGGCCUUGAACGGAACGCUGGCCCCUCUGAUUGGAUGGACCGGGCUGAGCAUUCUGGAGGGAGAGCUU